RNAcentral lists this ribosomal RNA (379 nucleotides) under uncultured organism. Its description in RNAcentral is "bacterial SSU rRNA". It matches the Rfam family "Bacterial small subunit ribosomal RNA", at positions 526 to 896 of the family's 1533-position model. The record is from RNAcentral.
CAGAGACCCCAAGCAUUAUCCGGAUUUAUUGGGCGUAAAGGGUGUGUAGGUGGUUUUGUAAGUCAUUUGUUAAAUCUUCAGGCUCAACCUGGAGGCUGCAGGUGAUACUACAAGGCUAGAGUAUGGGAGAGGUAAGCGGAAUGCCCGGUGUAGCGGUAAAAUGCGUUAAUAUCGGGUAGAACACCAAAGGCGAAAGCAGCUUACUGGAACAUUACUGACACUGAAACACGAAAGCGUGGGUAGCGAAAGGGAUUAGAUACCCCUGUAGUCCACGCCGUAAACGAUGAUCACUAGAUUUUGGGAGUAUCGACCCUCCCAGAGUCGUCGAAACAAGCUAACGCGUUAAGUGAUCCGCCUGGGAAGUACGAUCGCAAGAUUA